AUUGAAACACUUUUAGCUUAGAAAAGAGCAGAGCAGAGGGUAACUAGCUCAGAAUUUUUAGUUGGUGGCAUGUAUUUAUGAGAUGGAAAAGUCUAUGUCUGAGAGGGGACAGAGGCUUAUCUUCUAGCGUGGAAAGGAGAAGGGGAUGGAAGAAUCACUGAAGAGGAGAAUACAGACCAAUCUCACUCCCGUGACCCCACCCAGAAGUGAUUCAAUGCAAGAGGACAGCUUGGAUCUCCUAUGACUUCAUCUCUGCCCCAACCCAUCAGCAGCAAGCACUCAUUGCCUAGCAACCACCGGCCCUUACCCCACACUGUCUUUGAAAAGCUCCUGCUUAUGAGCCUUGGAUGAGACUGAUUUGAGUGUUAACUCCACCUCCCACGUGGCGUGGCUGGCCUCCUGUCUGUGAAACUCUUUCUUUAUUGCAGUGUUGUGGUCUUUAUUUGCGCAGUGGGCAGGAAGAACCCCUUGGGUAGUUACAAAAGGUCACCUGGAAAUGAAGUGACAACUAAUUAGGUAUGAAUCAACAUGGUGAGCAAAGGUCAGGGGAGAGGUUCACACUGCGGUGAUGGAUGGUCUCAAGGGGUUGGGUCGGAUUUGCAGUAAAAGAGAUUUUCCUGGAAUCUGAGUGAUGAAGAAUAACUUGCAAAUGCAAACUUGUUUCUCCUGCUGAUGCGUUCCUAGUCUAUAAUUGAAGAAGUGUGGGUCUGCUGUCUCAUUAUG
RNAcentral lists this long non-coding RNA (723 nucleotides) under Homo sapiens (human). Its description in RNAcentral is "HSALNT0371644". Lineage: Eukaryota; Metazoa; Chordata; Mammalia; Primates; Hominidae. The record is from RNAcentral.